GAAGGAAGACACGCUGCAGCGUAGUUUCAUCAGAAGUUGGCGCUAUAGGCUACGCAUGGCUGUUAUCCACCAGUAAACAGAGUAGAAGUAGUAAAGGUUGCGAACCGGAAACAGAACAAGUCGCCUUGGCAAUCUAACCGCAUCUAACCCAUCUACUAGGAUGCGGUUCUACGUCUUCAGGAAUGUGGUUCAAUUGGGAAAGUUUUAAUUGUUCUUUCAUGUCAGUUAUUGUUGGCCAUGUUUCAUGCUGUCCGGGAUGUGGAAGAUUUCCAUUCAGCUUUUCUAUAUUCCGAAU
This is a long non-coding RNA of Sander lucioperca (pikeperch), 295 nucleotides long. RefSeq lists it as uncharacterized. The transcript has 3 exons. Lineage: Eukaryota; Metazoa; Chordata; Actinopteri; Perciformes; Percidae. The record is from RefSeq and is a predicted model, not a curated record.